GGUACCACGGCCCCCUGUAUAUAGCCUCCACACUGCCUGGGUACCAGGGCCCCCUGUAUAUAGCCUCCACACUGCCUGGGUACCAGGGCCCCCUGUAUAUAGCCUCCACACUGCCUGGGUACCAGGGCCCCCUGUAUAUAACCUUGUUAUCGUUAUUCUUAUUGUGUUACUUUUAAUUAUUACUUUUUAUUUCAGUCUACUUGGUAAAUAUUUCUUCUUCUUGAACUGCACUGUUGGUUAAGGUCUUGUAAGGAAGCAUUUAACAUUUGAUUUGAUUUGACCCAUUCAUUUCUAAUGACCGGUCAUUUUUGACUGGGAACACCAGAGGUGUAUAAAAGUUAAAUAAAACACCCAAAAUGUAAUGCAAAUUAUCAAAAUGUAUUUUGUGUGUUCAGAUGCCCUGUGUGGACAAAGUAAUGGAACCUUAUGACAAUCAGAUUAAAUUAACUACAUUUUUCAGAGAAGAAAUGUGUAAAUCGGUCCAAUUUGACCAGAACACAGCAGGAGGGUUGAGACACAUUAUAAAAAUUAAAAAAUACAUUAAUAAUCAACCUCAGAUACUUGUACUCACUGACAUCUAAUGUGGCAGGACCACAGGUAAACAUACAAUGUGUUCUAGGCACUGAGAAAUUCCUUGUGUACUACCUUAGUUUUGUCUACAUGGAUAUUCAAAACAAUAUUUAUAUAUACCAAUAUAAAACAAUAUAGAAACGUUGUAUGUUUGGUGUAUGUAAAGUAUUACAGGGCACUACGCUAUAAUGUGCCUUGAAAUGAAUCCCGACCUAAAUGGUGGAAGCCCUCUAUGCCUCUGUCCAUGCUAAAGCAGGCUUUGUGGCAAAUACAGUAUUAUCUUUAUAUGAUCAUACUGUAUAUUAAAUAUACCAUUAUGUUGUUCUCUCUUUAUGUGAUUCCCCUCAACUUUUACUUCAGAAGGAGACACCAUCUUUGGCACAAGGUGUGAUCCAUUCCCACCAUUGACUGUUCAGUGUGUAAAGAGACAUAGAAGAGUGGCGGGGAGACAGGUCACUGUGGUCAACACACCAGCCUGGUGGAGGGAAUUUCUGAAGAAAGCUCCUGUGCAAGAGUUGGAUAAAUAGGAAAUAGUGUGCACUGUGUCACUGUGUUCCCAGCAACCCAUGUUUUCUUCCUGGUCCUAAAGAUGGACUAUAUGUUCACAGAGGAAGAAAGAAUGGCAGUAGAGGAGCACAUGUAACUUCUUGGCAAGACAGUCUGGAGUGAACAACAACUAUAGUGCUGUUCACUAAUGGAGAGUGGCUGGGAGAUGCGACCAUUGAGCAGUACAUUGAGUGUGAAGUGGAGGCCCUUCAGCGGCUUGUUGAGAAGUGUGAGAACAGUUAUCAUGUCUUCAAAAACCUUGGCAGGGAUGAUGUCCUGGAGCUGCUGGAGGAGAUAGAAGACAUGGUGGCAGGAAACAUGGAAGAUCAGUUUUACACUUAAAAUGACUCCUGUCUAAAACAAGGUCAUCAAAAACUCAUUACCCUCCACAGCCUGCCCAUGAUACCUACCAGCCAAGUGGAGCUAUUCCUCAUUUUAUAUCACUCUUUAUGGAACGGAUGCUGAAGGAGGAAGAGAAAGUCAAAAGCUCCAGAUGAAAUGUCAUUAUCAGGAAGGGGAAGAAGAAUCCCAUUUAGUGUGAUUAGAGGUCAGAGGCCUUGGAGGUGUAAACACAAAAAUCAACUGAGAAAGUUGAUCAUGUUUUCUUUUCUGUUCAUUUAUAAGUAAUUUCAAAGUUCAUAUAAUAACAGUAUGGAGUUACUAGCUGGGUUCUAGCUUGAAAUAUAUUUAUUCAUGUUACCAUUCUAGAACUUAUUGAUUGCUGUACAAGUAUAUAAGCUGGGGUCAAUGGAGGGUGGAUAAGAACUAGGUAUAUGGAAUGUUCCUGAGUGAGACAAGGGGGAGUGCAGAAAGUUUACAUUCUGUAAAAACAUGUUAUUGUUAAAUGGCUCCUAAGGAGGGAGGCAAAAGGCAGCAGUCUGGUUUCAGCCACUGUUAAGGUAUGACAUUCGUGGAUCAGGGAGGAGCGAGGAAUUCGGACCGAGGUCAGAUAAGAUGAAGUGAGAAGGAACACACAUAUAAUUCCAUGCCCACGAAGGUUCUAGCAUGAGACUACACCAGUGAGAAGAACAAAUUAAGUUCCUGACCAGCAACAGAGAUGUAUUGGCUGUCUAGAUGUGCAAGGAGUUGACACCAGCUAGUAGGAGGGUAUAAAUGUAUGUGCUUGUGUAAACAUGUCUUUGUCUUUUUCAGCUGUUUGACCCAGUGGGUGAAUAAACUUGGUUUGAG
Molecule: long non-coding RNA, 2304 nt
Organism: Oncorhynchus tshawytscha (Chinook salmon)
Lineage: Eukaryota; Metazoa; Chordata; Actinopteri; Salmoniformes; Salmonidae
Source: Ensembl